RNAcentral lists this ribosomal RNA (408 nucleotides) under uncultured bacterium. RNAcentral's name for it is "partial 16S ribosomal RNA". It matches the Rfam family "Bacterial small subunit ribosomal RNA", at positions 28 to 526 of the family's 1533-position model. The record is from RNAcentral.
GACGAACGCUGGCGGCGUGCUUAACACAUGCAAGUCGAACGAAGUGGCGAACGGGUGAGUAACGCGUAAUCAACCUGCCCUUCAGAGGGGGACAACAGUUGGAAACGACUGCUAAUACCGCAUACUGAAGGAGGGGAUUGCGGCUGAUUAGCUAGUUGGGGGGGUAACGGCCCACCAAGGCGAUGAUCAGUAGCCGGUCUGGGGGGAUGAACGGGCAAAUUGGGAAUGGGGAAAGGCCCAGACUCCGACGGGAGGCAGCAGUGGGGAAACUGCCGCAAUGGACGAAAGUCUGACGGAGCAACGGCGCGUGAGUGAUGACGGCCUUCGGGUUGUAAAGCUCUGUUAAGCGGGACGCGGUACCGGAAUAGAAAGCCACGGCUAACUACGUGCCAGCAGCCGCGGUAAUUC